UACGGAGGAUGCAAGCGUUAUCCGGAAGGAUUGGGCGUAAAGCGUCCGCAGGUGGCUGUGUAAGUCUGCUGUCAAAGAGCGAAGCUCAACUUCGUAAAGGCAGUGGAAACUACACGGCUAGAGUGCGUUCGGGGCAGAGGGAAUUCCUGGUGUAGCGGUGAAAUGCGUAGAGAUCAGGAAGAACACCGGUGGCGAAGGCGCUCUGCUAGGCCGCAACUGACACUGAGGGACGAAAGCUAGGGGAGCGAAUGGG
This 253-nucleotide ribosomal RNA is filed under the name uncultured bacterium. Its description in RNAcentral is "partial 16S ribosomal RNA". It matches the Rfam family "Bacterial small subunit ribosomal RNA", at positions 524 to 776 of the family's 1533-position model. The record is from RNAcentral.